Non-coding RNA from Lyophyllum atratum, 103 nucleotides. Lineage: Eukaryota; Fungi; Basidiomycota; Agaricomycetes; Agaricales; Lyophyllaceae. The record is from the annotation of a GenBank genome assembly.
AGCAGCAUGGCGCAGUUGGAAGCGCGCGGGGCCCAUAUACACCAAUCGAGGAAAAUUGAUGUUGUCUACCCCGAGGUCACUUGAUCGAAACAAGUUGCUGCUA